Molecule: ribosomal RNA, 254 nt
Filed under: uncultured bacterium
Lineage: Bacteria
Description: partial 16S ribosomal RNA
Rfam family: Bacterial small subunit ribosomal RNA
Source: RNAcentral
CACGUAGGGUGCGAGCGUUGUCCGGAAUUAUUGGGCGUAAAGAGCUCGUAGGCGGUGUGUCGCGUCGGCCGUGAAAACCUGCAGCUUAACUGUGGGCUUGCGGUCGAUACGGGCAUCACUGGAGUUCGGCAGGGGAGACUGGAAUUCCUGGUGUAGCGGUGAAAUGCGCAAAUAUCAGGAGGAACACCGGUGGCGAAGGCGGUUCUCUGGGCCUUACCUGACGCUGAGGAGCGAAAGCGUGGGGAGCGAACAGG